AUGAACGCUGGCGGCGUGCCUCAUCCCUGCCAGUCGCGCGAACAGACGAGGAGCUUGCUCCUCUGACGUUAGCGGCGGACGGGUGAGUAACACGUGGAUAACCUACCUAUAAGACUGGGAUAACUUCGGGAAACCGGAGCUAAUACCGGAUAAUAUAUUGAACCGCAUGGUUCAAUAGUGAAAGACGGUUUUGCUGUCACUUAUAGAUGGAUCCGCGCCGCAUUAGCUAGUUGGUAAGGUAACGGCUUACCAAGGCGACGAUGCGUAGCCGACCUGAGAGGGUGAUCGGCCACACUGGAACUGAGACACGGUCCAGACUCCUACGGGAGGCAGCAGUAGGGAAUCUUCCGCAAUGGGCGAAAGCCUGACGGAGCAACGCCGCGUGAGUGAUGAAGGUCUUCGGAUCGUAAAACUCUGUUAUUAGGGAAGAACAAAUGUGUAAGUAACUAUGCACGUCUUGACGGUACCUAAUCAGAAAGCCACGGCUAACUACGUG
RNAcentral lists this ribosomal RNA (496 nucleotides) under uncultured bacterium. RNAcentral describes it as "partial 16S ribosomal RNA". It matches the Rfam family "Bacterial small subunit ribosomal RNA", at positions 29 to 507 of the family's 1533-position model. The record is from RNAcentral.